This 465-nucleotide ribosomal RNA is filed under the name uncultured bacterium. RNAcentral's name for it is "partial 16S ribosomal RNA". It matches the Rfam family "Bacterial small subunit ribosomal RNA", at positions 338 to 795 of the family's 1533-position model. The record is from RNAcentral.
ACUACGGGAGGCUGCAGUGGGGAAUAUUGCGCAAUGGGCGAAAGCCUGACGCAGCGACGCCGCGUGAGGGAUGAAGGUCUUCGGAUCGUAAACCUCUGUCAGCAGGGAAGAACGGUCACUGUGCUAAUCAGCAGUGAAUUGACGGUACCUGCAAAGGAAGCACCGGCUAACUCCGUGCCAGCAGCCGCGGUAAUACGGCGGGUGCGAGCGUUAAUCGGAAUUAUUGGGCGUAAAGCGCUCGUAGGCGGUAUGUAAUGUCAAGGGGGAAAUCCCCGGGCUAAACGUGGGAACUGCCUUUGAAACUGGCGAGCUGGAGUGUGUGAGAGGAUAGUGGAAUUCCAGGUGUAGGAGUGAAAGCCGUAGAUAUCUGGAGGAACAUCAGUGGCGAAGGCGACUAUCUGGCACAUAACUGACGCUGAGGAGCGAAAGCGUGGGUAGCAAACAGGAUUAGAUACCCCGGUAGUC